Molecule: non-coding RNA, 72 nt
Organism: Ictidomys tridecemlineatus (thirteen-lined ground squirrel)
Lineage: Eukaryota; Metazoa; Chordata; Mammalia; Rodentia; Sciuridae
Source: Rfam
UGGGUUGUGGCUCAGCGGUAGAGCAUUUGCCUAACAUGUGUGAUGCACUGGGUUCAAAUCUCAGCACCACAU